This 422-nucleotide ribosomal RNA is filed under the name Enterobacter cloacae complex sp. 4DZ3-17B2. RNAcentral describes it as "bacterial SSU rRNA". It matches the Rfam family "Bacterial small subunit ribosomal RNA", at positions 351 to 788 of the family's 1533-position model. Lineage: Bacteria; Pseudomonadati; Pseudomonadota; Gammaproteobacteria; Enterobacterales; Enterobacteriaceae. The record is from RNAcentral.
GCAGUGGGGAAUAUUGGGCAAUGGGCGCAAGCCUGACCCAGCAACGCCGCGUGAAGGAAGAAGGCUUUCGGGUUGUAAACUUCUUUUGACAGGGAAGAGUAGAAGACGGUACCUGUCGAAUAAGCCACGGCUAACUACGUGCCAGCAGCCGCGGUAAUACGUAGGUGGCAAGCGUUGUCCGGAUUUACUGGGUGUAAAGGGCGUGUAGCCGGGUUGACAAGUCAGAUGUGAAAUCCUGCGGCUUAACCGCAGAACUGCAUUUGAAACUGUUGAUCUUGAGUACUGGAGAGGCAGACGGAAUUCCUAGUGUAGCGGUGAAAUGCGUAGAUAUUAGGAGGAACACCAGUGGCGAAGGCGGUCUGCUGGACAGCAACUGACGGUGAGGCGCGAAAGCGUGGGGAGCAAACAGGAUUAGAUACCCU